Molecule: long non-coding RNA, 1956 nt
Organism: Triticum dicoccoides
Lineage: Eukaryota; Viridiplantae; Streptophyta; Magnoliopsida; Poales; Poaceae
Exons: 5
Source: RefSeq, a predicted model, not a curated record
AAAAAAUCCCCUCUGUGCCAGCCGGCGCCCGACGGCCCGAUUCAGCGCCUCCCGCCGGAGACCGCCCGCCGCCGACGAGGGGCACGCCGGUGAUCUCCCCCAGCCCGCCUGCCCCUCUUUCAUAUCCGUUCUACUCCUUCUCUCUCGGCCCCCUCGAGCUCGCCUCGAUCCAUGGCCUCUCCUUAAACCUAGCUCCGGUCACGGCCACGACCGGCUUCGCAGCUCCCGGCCGCCAUCGCCUGCGCCUCCCCCCGUGUCUCCCUCACCUCGCCUGUGCAGCACCGUGGUUGUACAUCGCCAGCGCCAUCAGCUACAGCCCCGCUCUAAUCCACCUGCAAGCCGUGGACAGCGGCCUGGCUGCUUACUCGUCGCUGGCCUACCAGUACCUCCACCAACAUCUCAUCCAUCUAGAUCAGGGGCGCUUUAAUUUCAGCAGAUUUUCUUCUUCUUUGCAACAUGGUAAUUUUCUGGGAUAGAGUCUUGAUUUUAAUUAUUGCAGAAUGGCAAUCUGCUUUAUGUUGGCUUUAUCAUCUCAGGAUAAUCCAGAUGUUUUCCUAUGCCUUGAAGAGUUGUUGAUGGAUGAUAUACAUAGGCUACCAGGUGGUAGCUCCAAUGUUGCAACUGAGGCCAGCAAUGGGUGCUUCUCCUGGGAUGGCUCACCUGAGAUACCAACGUUGAAGGAUCUGAAUUUUCAAGCUCGGCAAGGCAUGCGUGUUGCACUUUGUGGGACGGUCGGCUCUGGAAAAUCAAGUUUGAUCACUUGAAUUCUUGGUAUGGAGCCAAAGCUAUUAGGAGAGGCCAAGACUUGCGGAACAAUGGCAUAUGUCAGCCACAAGGCAUGGAUACAGAGCGGCAAAAUUCAGGAUAACAUACUGCUCGGCAAGGAGAUGGAGAGUGAGGAGUAUGACAGGGUCCUUGAGUGGUAUUCGCUAAAGAAAUACUUGGAGAUCAAAAUCAUUGGAGAGUGAGGCUGGACUCUUAGUGGCAGGCAGAAACAAAGGAUUCAGAUAGCCCGAGCAUUGUGAUGUAUGCUGACAACUAUUUUGUUCCAUGAUCCGUUCAACGCAGUUGAUGCUCAUACAGGAUCCUAAUUUUCCAAGAAUCUUUGCUGAACUCCCUUGGUGUUAGUUGUUCUUGAACCGAAGAAACGUGCGGUCUGGAAUUGACAUCAUUCAGUUCCUUGAUGAAAACAAAGUUGCAUGUCCUUUUAGUCUAAACGUAAUAUUAUGCCUUGGAGCAUAUGAUGGGGGUCAAAUCGCAGUUAUGAACUGCAUUGCACGUGCAUGAAGGCGAAUGAUUUUUCUGGAUGCCAUUGCCAUCUGAUCGAUGGUUUCGCUGCGGUCGUUGGGAGAAAUAUCAUCGACGGUAGGGGAAAAGCGGGUAGGCUGAGGCGGGCACCCACACCAAGCGGCCGACCCACGAAGGCGGCCAUGCAGCUCCGCCUCGUGCCUCUCUCCCCAUCUCUAUGUUCGUGUCAAACCCAGCGCAAGGUAGAGGCAGAAGAGGAGGCCGGGAAGAGAAGCUGCAAGAGAAAGUUGUUGAAGUGGAAGAAGGUGAACCUGUAGAAGAGCUGAAAAAAGGACGUGGUAGAGACAAGGAAGCAAAGCCUAAACAGUAUAAUGAUUACUACCUCGCCCAGCCGCGCAUCCAAGACGCGGCGCUUGUUGGAAAGCUGGUCAAGUAGGUCCUCGACUGCGAGAUUUAGCUGGUUGAUCCUGUGCAUUAGCCUAAUUGUUACAAUAAACGGACUUACAACAAUGAUGCUUUCUAUAUUGAAUUCUUAUAUUGGACCUCACCAUUGCUUAGUUUCCUUUCCUGAUGUCAAGACACAAAGAAUUUGAGAUUCAAUUUAUCUUUUUUAGUUUUCACACUAGAGUGCUUCAUUUAUAUGUAUUACUGUAGACACAUGGGAAUCCUCAAGGUGUCAGGCUUGUUCUUAUUAUUGCUCAUGCAACC